This 87-nucleotide transfer RNA is filed under the name Verrucomicrobiota bacterium. RNAcentral's name for it is "tRNA-Thr". The record is from RNAcentral. Lineage: Bacteria; Pseudomonadati; Verrucomicrobiota.
CGAGGUGCGGGAUGGGAGUCCAGGUGUUCGUGGCGCGUGGCGUGGGGACGAGCUGGACUUGUUUGCGUUCGACGCGCUGCGCUCCGC